UUCCACCUCGAUCUUUCAAAGAGCUGGGAUGAGAGAUUUCCACCAUGCCUGGCCUCAUUUUCUUUUUUAAUUUUUUUUUAGACAUUAUAGCUCUUUUUAAUGGCCUCAUUUUCUUAUGUUUAAUUCGAGAAUUAUUCUUUUCAUAUACAAAGAAUAUAUUUUCUCCACCUUUAAAAACAAAUAGUAGACUGUUUAACAUCUCGCUUUAUUCAGUUAGUGAUGUUUCUUAGAUACGGGUCCAAAUUAG
This 247-nucleotide long non-coding RNA is filed under the name Homo sapiens (human). RNAcentral's name for it is "HSALNT0184942". The record is from RNAcentral. Lineage: Eukaryota; Metazoa; Chordata; Mammalia; Primates; Hominidae.